Musa acuminata subsp. malaccensis (wild Malaysian banana) is the source of this 84-nucleotide non-coding RNA. The record is from Rfam. NCBI's taxonomy places the organism in Eukaryota, Viridiplantae, Streptophyta, Magnoliopsida, Zingiberales, Musaceae.
GGAUCAAGUGAUGAGGAAACUGCAACAAUAUGAUGGGGGGUGGUUAUCCCUCCAUGAUUCCUAGUAUUUAAGUCUCUGAUGGUC